GACGAACGCUGGCGGCGUGCUUAACACAUGCAAGUCGAACGGAAAGGCCCUGCUUUUGUGGGGUGCUCGAGUGGCGAACGGGUGAGUAACACGUGAGUAACCUGCCCUUGACUUUGGGAUAACUUCAGGAAACUGGGGCUAAUACCGGAUAGGAGCUCCUGCUGCAUGGUGGGGGUUGGAAAGUUUCGGCGGUUGGGGAUGGAUUCGCGGCUUAUCAGCUGGUUGGUGGGGUAGUGGCUUACCAAGGGUUUGACGGGUAGCCGGCCUGAGAGGGUGAACGGCCACAUUGGGACUGAGAUACGGCCCAGACUCCUACGGGAGGCAGCAGUGGGGAAUAUUGCACAAUGGGCGGAAGCCUGAUGCAGCAACGCCGCGUGCGGGAUGACGGCCUUCGGGUUGUAAACCGCUUUCGCCUGUGACGAAGCGUGAGUGACGGUAAUGGGUAAAGAAGCACCGGCUAACUACGUG
Molecule: ribosomal RNA, 468 nt
Filed under: uncultured bacterium
Lineage: Bacteria
Description: partial 16S ribosomal RNA
Rfam family: Bacterial small subunit ribosomal RNA
Source: RNAcentral